CAGCCGCCGCGGUAAUACGGAGGGGGCUAGCGUUGUUCGGAAUUACUGGGCGUAAAGCGCACGUAGGCGGUUAUUCAAGUCAGAGGUGAAAGCCCGGGGCUCAACCCCGGAACUGCCUUUGAAACUAGAUGACUAGAAUCUUGGAGAGGCGAGUGGAAUUCCGAGUGUAGAGGUGAAAUUCGUAGAUAUUCGGAAGAACACCAGUGGCGAAGGCGACUCGCUGGACAAGUAUUGACGCUGAGGUGCGAAAGCGUGGGGAGCAAACAGGAUUAGAUACCCCGGUAGUCCCUGUCUCUUAUAC
Molecule: ribosomal RNA, 301 nt
Filed under: uncultured bacterium
Lineage: Bacteria
Description: partial 16S ribosomal RNA
Rfam family: Bacterial small subunit ribosomal RNA
Source: RNAcentral